This 743-nucleotide ribosomal RNA is filed under the name uncultured bacterium. RNAcentral describes it as "bacterial SSU rRNA". It matches the Rfam family "Bacterial small subunit ribosomal RNA", at positions 94 to 823 of the family's 1533-position model. The record is from RNAcentral.
AGCGGCGGAUGGGUGAGUAACACGUGGGGAACCUGCCCCUAAGUCUGGGAUACCAUUUGGAAACAGGUGCUAAUACCGGAUAAUAAAGCAGAUCGCAUGAUCAGCUUUUGAAAGGCGGCGUAAGCUGUCGCUAAGGGAUGGCCCCGCGGUGCAUUAGCUAGUUAGUAAGGUAACGGCUUACCAAGGCGACGAUGCAUAGCCGAGUUGAGAGACUGAUCGGCCACAUUGGGACUGAGACACGGCCCAAACUCCUACGGGAGGCAGCAGUAGGGAAUCUUCCACAAUGGACGCAAGUCUGAUGGAGCAACGCCGCGUGAGUGAAGAAGGUCUUCGGAUCGUAAAGCUCUGUCGUUGGUGAAGAAGGAUAGAGGUAGUAACUGGCCUUUAUUUGACGGUAAUCAACCAGAAAGUCACGGCUAACUACGUGCCAGCAGCCGCGGUAAUACGUAGGUGGCAAGCGUUGUCCGGGUUUAUUGGGCGUAAAGCGAGCGCAGGCGGAAAAAUAAGUCUAAUGUGAAAGCCCUCGGCUUAACCGAGGAACUGCAUCGGAAACUGUUUUUCUUGAGUGCAGAAGAGGAGAGUGGAACUCCAUGUGUAGCGGUGGAAUGCGUAGAUAUAUGGAAGAACACCAGUGGCGAAGGCGGCUCUCUGGUCUGCAACUGACGCUGAGGCUCGAAAGCAUGGGUAGCGAACAGGAUUAGAUACCCUGGUAGUCCAUGCCGUAAACGAUGAGUGCUAAGUGU